Molecule: long non-coding RNA, 1253 nt
Organism: Talpa occidentalis (Iberian mole)
Lineage: Eukaryota; Metazoa; Chordata; Mammalia; Eulipotyphla; Talpidae
Exons: 4
Source: RefSeq, a predicted model, not a curated record
ACGGUGGAGCCGCGCAGGCCCGCGCGGAGCGGACGGAAGGCGAGGACAGCUGAGGGGCGCCCGGGCCUCGCGUCUUCACAGCUCAAGCGAAAUUGAUUUGCCUUUCCUGACAUUUGCUGGCAGCGCCAUCAUAAAGUCUGUAGCCUUUGCACGUCCCAGUGCAUUUUAAGCUGAUACCUGUUAGCCUGACUCCUACAGCAGAACUCACAACAUGGCGGGUGCAACACGACUUGGCCGAGGCCCUGCUAUGUCCAGGAUGGAGGGCGUCUGACAUGAGCGAGCCUGUCUGUGUGGAAGUAGGGCAGGAAGACACGGCUGAUUGGAGCUGGCGCCCGAGCAGGGCCUCGCCCAGGUCUCUGCGGUGUGCGUGAAGCACAGGCAGAUCCAGGAUGGCCCGGCUUCCCGGACGGAGCGCCUGGUUCUGCUGCUCAGCCACAGCCAGCCACGCCCGGACCUGCAGAGGUGCUGUUCCUUUCCUCAUUCUCUUACGACGCAAGUGUUUGUUCAUUGCCUCUUUGUAUGUGCGGAGCAUGUGGUCGCGGCCUUUUUAAUCUUUUGACCUGCACUUUUUUGCUCAGUGUAGCAUGUCCCAGCAGCAGGUGUGUUCACCGGCUAAGGUCCAUGCCGUUCGCGUUCACUGCUGGACGGUACUCUCGGUUGCGAAUAUACGGAAUGCGUUGAAAGAUGAAGGAAGAAGUUGUGAGCACUCCAUGGCACGUGUCACACUUUGGACCCUGUAACCAGGCCCACGUGUGAUUCCCAAGAACAUCUCGUGAGAAUGUCUGUGGAGCAGUCAGCUCGGUUCCCAGCACCGCUGGCCACGCUGGCCUUGGUAACGUCAGCCCUGAGCUUUCUCCCAAAACAGUUCCUCCAAGGGUGCCUUGUUCUGGCUUUAAAUUGCAAAGAUCUUACCACAAGCGAGUUUCUUGCUUGCUUGUUUGUUCACCCUCCGCGAUGCCGCCUUGGGUGGGUCGUGACGCUGUCUCUUCCUGACGGGCUUUGUGUGAUGAAUAUACGGAUAAAAUUAUUUGUGGGCGCUGGCUGUCAGCCGGCAGCAUCCGCUCUGUCUUGAUGCUGCUGCUUCAGUUUGUUCUGUGCUUGACGUCCUCGCGUUGGGCGUGUGUGUGGUGGGCAGUUCUGUGCGUGGGCCGGGCGGGCUGCAGGCGGCCUCUGUCCACGUGUGGCUCUGGUGCACCUGUGCUGGUCCAGGGGGUGCUUCUGGGGCAGUGGCCUGGGGGGUAGGUGCCCUCACG